UACGUAGGGUGCAAGCGUUAAUCGGAAUUACUGGGCGUAAAGCGUGCGCAGGCGGCUUUGCAAGACAGAUGUGAAAUCCCCGGGCUCAACCUGGGAACUGCAUUUGUGACUGCAAGGCUAGAGUACGGCAGAGGGGGAUGGAAUUCCGCGUGUAGCAGUGAAAUGCGUAGAUAUGCGGAGGAACACCAAUGGCGAAGGCAAUCCCCUGGGCAUGUACUGACGCUCAUGCACGAAAGCGUGGGGAGCAAACAGG
This 253-nucleotide ribosomal RNA is filed under the name uncultured bacterium. RNAcentral's name for it is "partial 16S ribosomal RNA". It matches the Rfam family "Bacterial small subunit ribosomal RNA", at positions 524 to 776 of the family's 1533-position model. The record is from RNAcentral.